UCAAACUUACCCAUUCGGCAACCCAAGUGUGCAUAUGUUUUUCUUUGAUAAUUAUUUUAUUUUGCUACUAUGCUUGGUAAACUGCAAUUAUGCCCAAUAUUUUUACCUUUGCAUUUUAGGUCUUCUCUUCUAUGUCACUAAGUACUAUAGGGAAGGGAAUAACUGAAGUUGAUUGAGAUCUAUUCUGAUUCUCCUGAUAUCCAUCUCAACAGGUUUUUAUUUGCUUUUCAACAUCCAUUUCAUAGUGGGACGUGUGGCUUUGAUUAAUAUUGCCAUAAAGUCUGCCGAAAAUGGGUGUGGUACGGAAACCCAGAAACGGCAUGAGCUCAACAUCAAACAUGGAUUAGAAUUUUAGCGGGGGAUCAAGUCAAGUCUGGAAGUGUUACAGGAUGGAAGAGUGAGCCUACAGUUGAAAAAACACUGAGAGUGCAUUGCCGUUAAGGUAUGAGGUAAAGUAAUAGAGUAUGCAAAUUGUCUAAUGAGAAGUACCAUCUUGUGUGAAUGAAUCCUGUAUAACAGCAAUCCUUUAUAGUUCUGUCACAGCUAGAAGCCUCAAAUAAUUCUGCUUCUCUUGCUAAAGAACAACUUGUCCUUAACGUUCAGAGUGUUGGUGAAGCUGGGUACAUAAAUGGCCCUAAAGAUGUUUCACUUCGCUGGCAUUGCAGCGAUGAACAUCAUACAUGGACUCUUUAGGAAAGGAUUUUCAGCAUACUGGGAACACAGCUAUCAACAAUGCAACAUUCUACGGGUGCUAUUUUAUCAUUCAAGAGCCUUAUACAAUGAUUUUCAUCUGCAAUUUGUAUGGCCUUUCCCAAGCUUCUGCCAGAAGUUGAAUCUAUGAGUCAUGUAAGUCACAUGAGCAACAAUUGAGAUGCUUAAUGGUGUUUUGCUUUUCUCAGUAUAGGUUGAUAGUAACAUUGGAUCUGAAAAGAUUCUUGGUUGGGGCAAGACACUGAAUAAAUUGCAAUGAUUGGAUGGUUAACAUGACAUUUCUAUACUUCAUUCGGAUUCCCGAGACGGUAUUUUAUAUUUAAAAAAUUGAAGUGCAUAUCUGGGCUCCC
This is a long non-coding RNA of Daphnia carinata, 1061 nucleotides long. RefSeq lists it as uncharacterized. NCBI's taxonomy places the organism in Eukaryota, Metazoa, Arthropoda, Branchiopoda, Diplostraca, Daphniidae. The record is from RefSeq and is a predicted model, not a curated record. The transcript is spliced from 3 exons.